GUUCCAGGUACUAAAACCACUGGCUUUGGGGCCAGCAAGAAUUCUGAUCCCCCACUAUUAGAUGUAUGACUUUGAGCAUGUUACUUAACAUCUCUGAGCCUCAGUUUCUGCAUUUGUAAAAUGGGGAUACUAGUACCUAUUGCAUAGUUGUUAUGAGGAUUAGAU
RNAcentral lists this small nucleolar RNA (165 nucleotides) under Tursiops truncatus (common bottlenose dolphin). RNAcentral's name for it is "Small nucleolar RNA ACA59 (ENSTTRG00000024436.1)". Lineage: Eukaryota; Metazoa; Chordata; Mammalia; Artiodactyla; Delphinidae. The record is from RNAcentral.